RNAcentral lists this long non-coding RNA (510 nucleotides) under Homo sapiens (human). RNAcentral describes it as "non-protein coding PXN-AS1:19". Lineage: Eukaryota; Metazoa; Chordata; Mammalia; Primates; Hominidae. The record is from RNAcentral.
GGAGCUGGAGCUGGAGCUGCGAAUUCGGAGUCCCGGUUCCCUGUGCCACCUGGCGAGCUCAGCAAACUAAAAGUCUCUUUGUCUUCAUCGUUUCCGGCACUGAUGUGAGCACAUCAUAAGCACAAGACCUGGACACCUUUACAAUCAGAGGUAGCAUCUGUCUGGAACUGUAUCUUGACUCUCACUGGUGCUUUUCCUUUGGUUGAUGCAAAGCUUUUGAAUCCUUUAGGGAGAUGUCAUUGGCCUAGGACUGGAGCUCUGGAUCUGACCGGAGCAAAGAGGAAGCACGCAAAUCCGGACAUGACGACGAGGAGGCAGUAGAGACCCAUCCUCAACUGUAAGUAACUGCCUUCGGCAGGGAAGGGGCUAACCCACGUUGUGUGGGCUCAGGCACGGCCGCGUCUGGUUCUGUGCAGGAACACAGGCAGAGGCAAGCCCUGGGUCCGCAUCAUGGCUCUGCCCUCACUCAGAUUGCCUUGUACAUGUAGGUUCUUGUCCUAGAGCCUCUUU